This 460-nucleotide ribosomal RNA is filed under the name uncultured bacterium. Its description in RNAcentral is "partial 16S ribosomal RNA". It matches the Rfam family "Bacterial small subunit ribosomal RNA", at positions 338 to 795 of the family's 1533-position model. The record is from RNAcentral.
CCUACGGGAGGCAGCAGUGAGGAAUAUUGGUCAAUGGACGAGAGUCUGAACCAGCCAAGUAGCGUGAAGGAUGACUGCCCUAGGGGUUGUAAACUUCUUUUAUAAAGGAAUAAAACGAGGCACGUGUGCCUUUUUGCAUGUACUUUAUGAAUAAGGAUCGGCUAACUCCGUGCCAUCAGCCGCGGUAAUACGGAGGAUCCGAGCGUUAUCCGGGUUUAUUGGGUUUAAAGGGAGCGUAGAUGGGUUGUUAAGUCAGUUGUGAAAGUUUGCGGCGCAACCGUAAAAUUGCAAUUGAUACUGGCAGUCUUGAGUACAGUUGAGGUAGGCGGAAUUCGUGGUGUAGCGGUGAAAUGCUUAGAUAUCACGAAGAACCCCGAUUGCGAAGGCAGCUUACUAAACUGUGACUGACAUUGAUGCUCGAAAGUGUGGGUAUCAAACAGGAUUAGAUACCCUAGUAGUC